Molecule: ribosomal RNA, 378 nt
Filed under: uncultured bacterium
Lineage: Bacteria
Description: bacterial SSU rRNA
Rfam family: Bacterial small subunit ribosomal RNA
Source: RNAcentral
AUUGAACGCUGGCGGCAUGCUUUACACAUGCAAGUCGAACGGCAGCGCGGGGGCAACCCUGGCGGCGAGUGGCGAACGGGUGAGUAAUGUAUCGGAACGUAUCCUGUAAUGGGGAUAACCAGUCGAAAGAUUGGGUAAUACCGCAUACGCACGAGAGUGGAAAGUAGGGGAUCGCAAGACCUUACGUUAUAGGAGCGGCCGAUAUCUGAUUAGCUAGUUGGUGGGGUAAAGGCCUACCAAGGCGACGAUCAGUAGCUGGUCUGAGAGGAUGAUCAGCCACACUGGGACUGAGACACGGCCCAGACUCCUACGGGAGGCAGCAGUGGGAAUUUUGGACAAUGGGCGAAAGCCUGAUCCAGCCAUGCCGCGUGCGGGAAG